UUGCAGUUAAAACGCUCGUAGUCGGAUUUCGGGGCGGGCCGACCGGUCUGCCGAUGGGUAUGCACUGGCCGGCGCGUCCUUCCACCCGGAGACCGCGCCUACUCUUAACUGAGCGGGCGCGGGAGACGGGUCUUUUACUUUGAAAAAAUCAGAGUGUUUCAAGCAGGCAGUCGCUCUUGCAUGGAUUAGCAUGGGAUAAUGAAAUAGGACUCUGGUGCUAUUUUGUUGGUUUCGAACACCGGAGUAAUGAUUAACAGGGACAGUCAGGGGCACUCGUAUUCCGCCGAGAGAGGUGAAAUUCUCAGACCAGCGGAAGACGAACCACUGCGAAAGCAUUUGCCAGGGAUGUUUUCACUGAUCAAGAACGAAAGUUAGGGGAUCGGAGACGAUCAGAUACCGUCGUAGUCUUAACCAUAAACCAUGCCGACUAGGGAUUGGAGGAUGUUCCAUUUGUGACUCCUUCAGCACCUUUCGGGAAACUAAAGUCUUUGGGUUCCGGGGGGAGUAUGGUCGCAAGGCUGAAAACUUAAAGGAAUUGACGGAAGGGCCCCACCAGGAGUGGAGCCUGCGGCU
RNAcentral lists this ribosomal RNA (573 nucleotides) under uncultured marine eukaryote. RNAcentral's name for it is "SSU rRNA". It matches the Rfam family "Eukaryotic small subunit ribosomal RNA", at positions 613 to 1190 of the family's 1831-position model. The record is from RNAcentral.